CUCGAGUGGCGAACGGGUGAGUAACACGUGGGUGAUCUGCCCUGCACUUCGGGAUAAGCCUGGGAAACUGGGUCUAAUACCGGAUAGGACGAUGGUUUGGAUGCCAUUGUGGAAAGUUUUUCGGUGUGGGAUGAGCUCGCGGCCUAUCAGCUUGUUGGUGGGGUAAUGGCCUACCAAGGCGUCGACGGGUAGCCGGCCUGAGAGGGUGACGGCCACAUUGGGACUGAGAUACGGCCCAG
RNAcentral lists this ribosomal RNA (239 nucleotides) under uncultured Actinomycetales bacterium. Its description in RNAcentral is "partial 16S ribosomal RNA". It matches the Rfam family "Bacterial small subunit ribosomal RNA", at positions 90 to 334 of the family's 1533-position model. The record is from RNAcentral. Lineage: Bacteria; Bacillati; Actinomycetota; Actinomycetes; Actinomycetales.